Molecule: ribosomal RNA, 224 nt
Filed under: uncultured bacterium
Lineage: Bacteria
Description: partial 16S ribosomal RNA
Rfam family: Bacterial small subunit ribosomal RNA
Source: RNAcentral
UACGAAGGGGGCUAGCGUUGCUCGGAAUUACUGGGCGUAAAGCGCACGUAGGCGGCUUUCUAAGUCGGGGGUGAAAUCCUGGAGCUCAACUCCAGAACUGCCUUCGAUACUGGAAGACUUGAGUUCCGGGGAGAGGUGAGUGGAACUGCGAGUGUAGAGGUGAAAUUCGUAGAUAUUCGCAAGAACACCAGUGGCGAAGGCGGCUCACUGGCCCGAUCGUGACG